This is a long non-coding RNA of Ostrea edulis (European flat oyster), 2565 nucleotides long. RefSeq lists it as uncharacterized. The transcript has 2 exons. The record is from RefSeq and is a predicted model, not a curated record. NCBI's taxonomy places the organism in Eukaryota, Metazoa, Mollusca, Bivalvia, Ostreida, Ostreidae.
UUGAAUUAUAAUUCCCUAGACUAUAGUAUACAUAUACUAUUACUUUGAAAUUUCAGUGACCUAAGAAAUAUAUCAAACCUGAGGUUUCAUGUUUCACACAAACAUGUAGGUUGGCAAAACCUUUUUAAAAAUAAUGUAAAUUAAUCACAAGUCUGCAUAUGCCCUCUCAUAGGCAAAUGUAUGCACUGUAUGUAUAAGUAAGAUAUGUAUACUACACGUAUGCCCUUCUCUUGACCCACAUUUUGUAAAUAAAACAGAUAUGAUGAGUCAAUGGCAGUUUAUGAAAACAUAUAUACAUGUCAUUUCAUAUUGCAAUUUAUAAUUUUGAAACAUCAGUAUUUAAAUUUUCACUGAAUAUGUGUUGAGACACAAUUUUAAAAUUCACAUUGUCUCACGCAGUCUAAUUACUCAAUGGUAUGAUAUAGACCUAACUGUGCAGAUAUCAAUUAUGAUGAUCUUUUUUCUAGGCAUCGGCCUGAAGACCAAGGGAGGUUAGAUAGGACCAGUGCAGGUUGAAGUGGAUUUCGAGUCAACAAGUAUAACAGCAAGAGAGGUACUCCAUUUACAGUGAUGAUGACAUAUCCCCUGGACCCCACAACUCCACAAAUUUAAAAAUGUUUGAUCCAGUUCAAAGAUUAAAGAACUACUGCAAAAUUUGGGACUUGGAUGAAAAACAUUAAUUCACUUAUAUGAGCUCAGAGCAGUGGAUGUUGUACAACAUACUUUAAACUAAAUUGUGAAUUUAAGGGAAAACAAGUACAUGUACUCGUGUAUUACAUGUACAUGUCUUUUGAAAGACAAUAAUAUUGCAUAGAUGUAAAGGAAAUUUCAAUGUUGAUUAUUCUUUCUUAGAUAUAUUAGUAAAAAAUGUGCACAUGAUAGAAUAUCAAUUUUAUAACUUCAAUCAAUGUGUUUGAAUUUUCCUUGUAAUUCAAAAUUUAGUUGAAACAUACAUCAUUGAUACAUUAAUGUAUAUCAAAUUUUUAGAAAUGUUUCAUAAUGGAACUAAUUCACCCCCCCCCCCCCCCCUUCCCCCUUAUACAUACAGUGAACAUAGACCUUCACCUGGGGAAAACUACAGUUAGUUAAUGCAAUAUACAUGUACAUGCAUUCUCAAUUAUCCAAUAGUGAGUUUUUGGUUCUUUGUGAAAGUACAAUUAGAAAUCUUAAACUUAUGAAAGACAUACCUAUCUGUGAGGGCAAGAUGACUCAGAUGGACUUAAAUGUAGUGAUCCAUGGGCAGUCCAUGGGUCUCUUUCCAUUGAUAUUAAUUAUUUAUUGAAAUAUGAAAUGGUUAUUUAAACAUAUUUGGUGUAUUAUACUGUAUAGUGAUAUAAAUUUCUAUAAAAAAAAUGUGUAUAGGUAAUAGAUUUGGUCCAGUUAUUACAAGAAAUUGUAUGAAAAAUAACUAAAUAUUUAGGCAAUCAUUGUGAGUGCGAAAAGGUCAACUGCAAUAGCACACAAUAUAUAUCAUUCUUAAAUGGCUCAUAGAAACUUCUAGUAUUGCGAGUUUGAAUGCUCAAUGUGGUAAUUUGGGAAUGCUUAAUCAUUUAAGGUCAAUAGUUUAUCUCUGCUGACUGUAUCUUUUAAAAUUCAUUUUUAGAAGGGAGGGGGUAGGGUUACAAAAUCUGACAUAGUUUCAGAUUAAACCUCAUUUGGUAUAUUUUUUUCUAUUCAAUAUUUUAGAUACUACUUGACUUAUUGUAAAAAUGAAAUAAAAUCAGAAAUUUUAUGAGCAGAAUUUUGUUGUUGUCAGAAAAUGUAUGCCUGAUAGUAUUUGAGAAACGCCAUAUUUAGGGUAAAUUUGGCCAAUUGCCAAGUCGAAUCAUUCCAAUGUUUUCCUUAGAUGCAUUUUGAAUUUCUAAUCAAUGUUGACUUUUUAUCUGUUUGUGUUUAAUAUACACAACUAUAUAUGAGAAACAAUAUUUCUGGUGUCAAUAAAAUUUUUAUUGGCUUCUGUGUCAAUUUGCUCAAUUUUGGCAUUUUUUGCCUUUUGGGGCUGUAAAAGAGGGAAUUUCAAUCUCGCUUUCCUCGAAAAUUAACCUGAUUACUUUUGUUGAUUUUUUGAUAUGUUGUAGAAUAAAGUCAAAAUGUUAUAAUAAAUAAAAUUGAAAAAAAUUCAAUGAGCAGUUUUUUUGGGGCUAGCUAUCAAUAGCUACCUUAAUGAUAUACUGUAACCGUUUUAUCACACCGAUCAAACAAAACCGGAAUAAAACUUAGAUUAAUACAAUGUUUAUAGGACCUUCUCGCCACCGUGUUGUUGUUAGGUUCUUAUACGGAAACCAAUUAACUCGUGAUCGGCAAUUUCCAUUCUAUAAUGAAUAUUCAUAAUUUCGUUCGAGACAUACUGACACCCCUUUUUUGCUUGGAAUCAGUGAUUUGCAUGGAAUCAGCAUGUCAGAAUGACAAUUUAAAUUCUUAUAUUAAAAAUCAAUAUAGGCAUCAUAAUAUACAUAUACAUUUUAUGAAUAAAAUGAGUUCACCAAACUUUUAUCCAAUAAAAUUAAUGGCAUACCCUGUAGACCCAAAACCGCCAAAUUUGUGUCCCGCAAAAGAAAAAAAAGA